AGAGUUUGAUCCUGGCUCAGAGCGAACGCUGGCGGCAGGCCUAACACAUGCAAGUCGAGCGCCCCGCAAGGGGAGCGGCAGACGGGAGAGUAACACGUGGGAACGUACCCUUCAGUUCGGAACAACCCAGGGAAACUUGGGCUAAUACCGAAUACGUCCGUAAGGAGAAAGAUUUAUCGCUGAAGGAUCGGCCCGCGUCUGAUUAGCUUGUUGGUGAGGUAACGGCUCACCAAGGCUACGAUCAGUAGCUGGUCUGAGAGGAUGAUCAGCCUCACUGGGACUGAGACACGGCCCAGACUCCUACGGGAGGCAGCAGUGGGGAAUAUUGGACAAUGGGCGCAAGCCUGAUCCAGCCAUGCCGCGUGGAUGAUGAAGGCCUUAGGGUUGUAAAAUCCUUUCGGCGGGGAAGAUAAUGACGGUACCCGCAGAAGAAGCCCCG
This 439-nucleotide ribosomal RNA is filed under the name uncultured bacterium. RNAcentral describes it as "bacterial SSU rRNA". It matches the Rfam family "Bacterial small subunit ribosomal RNA", at positions 8 to 495 of the family's 1533-position model. The record is from RNAcentral.